RNAcentral lists this long non-coding RNA (4800 nucleotides) under Manihot esculenta (cassava). RNAcentral describes it as "long non-coding RNA (MESC_LNC012250)". The record is from RNAcentral. Lineage: Eukaryota; Viridiplantae; Streptophyta; Magnoliopsida; Malpighiales; Euphorbiaceae.
CAAGUUGCCCUUUCCUUAUUCAAGAAGCCAUAUCUCAAGCUGCCAUAAUUGAAGAGCCAAAGAAGGAAAGUAUUUUGAAAUUCAAAUCUCCAAGAUUCACAUUCAGAUAUUGGAUUUCAAGAUCCCACUCAUUAAGGAAGCCAAAUCUCAAGAUCACAUGUUCCCCAUUUUAUGCCAUGCACAUUCAAGUUUCCAUAAAAGGCUCCACCUUCCUCUUUAGUGAAUGGGCACACUCCAAAAACGUGGGCAGCCUCUUGGACACACCUUGGGCAGUAUCUUGAAGAUCUUGGACAGCAAUUAAAAGACUAAAGAGCCCCCACUUGCAUGCUCCACGUUUUUGCCUUCACCCAUACACAAAGAAGGCACAUAACUCACCAAGGGCACUUUGGGAAGUCUCCAAAAGACUCAUGGAUACUAAAAAGGAAAUAGGCAGCCUCUCAACACCUAUUUAAAGGCCUCAAGAACACAAGAAGAGGCACAAUUCAACUCUCCAAAUUCGGCCAAGCAAGGGCAGCCACACUCCAAGGGGCUUCUCCCCUCAAUUUCGGUUCUUCUUUCUUCUUUUCUUUAAUUUUCUGUUUUGGUUCAGCCAUGAGUGGCUGAAACCUUUAUUCUAGUUGAAGUUUGGUUGAAACUAAGGUUGUUUAAAGGGUUGUGAGAUCUGAACAUAAAGUGUUUGCUUUUGAUUUAUUCAAUAUUCAUGCAAUUGUGCUUAAUUAUAAAGAUUGCUUUGUUGUUUUGAUCAAAUUGGCCACUUGAUUCUUGAUUGCAAAGUUAAUUGAUUGUUGAUUAGGAUAUUUGUUAGUCCGUAAUUGCUGGAAAUAUUCUGAUCUAAGAACACUUGGUGUAAAAACCAAGAAAUUGCAUGAUCUAGCAACAUCUCAUGCGUUUGAGUAGUGAGGGUUUGGAUCUUUCUUGUUCUUCAUGCAAUUGGAAAUUGUUUUGAUGCCUAUGGCCCAAGGACGUUCCUUGGCAAUUUGUUGAUUAGUAAUUGGUUAGAGGACGUUCCCUAUUCAAUUUGUUCAUAAGGAAAGACAUGGUGGUGAGAAGCGUCUUCCACCCCCAUAACCAACCUAUUGAAUCAAUCAAGGUAACCAUGUUUCAAUGAUCAACCCAAACAACCAAAGUGGAUCCAUAUCUUCAACUAGACCUUUCUCUUAUUGAUUUCCUCUUUUAUUUUUAUUACUUGCUGUUUUAAUUACUUUUAUUAGUUGUUAAUCAAAUCAUCUCAAAACCCCCCUUUUUACUUUCCUUGCACUUUACUUUUGUUCUAUCUGCGAUCACUUGCUUUCACUUGUGCUUUCAAUUGGUUUGAUUGGUCUUGAUUAAGAUAAAUAAAUAGGUAAUCAAUUUUCUGUGGAUACGAUCCUUCACCACUGUCUACAGUUGUAUUUGUAGGUAACCAAGAAGGUUAUUUUUGACCUGCUUCGACAACCGCUCCUGUCAAAAAUUGGCGCCGCUGCCGGGGAAUUGAUCUAACUUAUUUGUUUUUCUUUUAGGACCAAAUAAAAAUAAAAAAAAAAAUAAAAAAAUUCACCAAAGGCACGGUCACCAUCGCAGAUCUGAAUCAUGGCUAAGGUAAGUACAUCUGUUCACUGUUCUCAACUUUCUAAACUAAUCUCUGCUGUGAGAAUUCUUGUUAUAAGCCAAGCUGAACAAGCCCAACCAAAACCUCAAGGUUUCAAUACUGAUCUUUAUGAGAAAUUAAAGGCUCUGCAACAUAUCCAACACGAAGUGGAUCAAAUGGCCCAACAAGCACUUGCAUUUGAAGGACCCUAUGAACAGCAAAGACAUGAUCCAUACUAUAACACAUACAGUUCAGGUUGGAGAGACUAUCCAGACUUCAGUUAUGUAGAGGCUAACAACUACCAGGAUUAUCAAGGAUAUCAAGCCCAACCAGAAGCUCAAAGUUCCAAUCUUGAUGAGAUUAUGAAGACUUUGCAAAGUAUCCAACAGCAACAGGAUCAAUUGAACAAAUCAUUGAAUGCAACCAUGUUAGGAAGAAAGGAAGAGCUUCAAGAUGUAUGGGAUGAUGAUGAAAGUUGGCAAGUACAAGAACAAGUUGCUGAAGAAACCCAACCAGAAAACUGUUUGUCCCAACAAACUGGUCAAACAGAAACUGCUGAAAGUUUAGAUAUCAUUGAUUGUAUGAGCCAAGAAAAUUUUUAUGUAGAUCAAGAUGAUAUGCUAAAUAAUGAUUUUUGCAGGGAAGAGAACCAGAAAGAGCCAGAACUGAAAGACACUAACUGUUGCAUCCAACAGGUGGACUGUGAACACGCACAGAACAAAGGAGAGCCUAUCACACCUCUUCAAAUCAAUCUUGCGCAGUCAGAAGGAACUCCAACUGAACCACCUCAGCUUGGACCGCAGGACAGUCCUGCAACUCUUCUAGUUGCACCUCUUCAGCUUCCAUCGCAUGAAACUCCUUUCAUUCUUCCAUUCCAGAUCAAUCUUGCGCAAGAAGGAGUACCUGAAAUCCUCUCAGGCGCGUCCUUUUAGCUUCCCACACAAAUCAGUCUUCCACCUCAGUUAGGUCCUAUGCAGAAGGAGGAAACUGAAACUCCUUUCAUCCUUCCAAUGCAAACAGUCCAUGCCCAGGAGGGACAAAUGGUAGUCCAAUGGCCCAAACCAAAGGAGCAUGCAGAUCAAUGCCUUCCAAAACCUCCGGAUAAGUUAGAAUUUAUUUUGCUUGAACUUGAUGCCAAAUUGCAGCCACCCAUGGAGAAAUAUCAAUUGAAGUUGGAAGUGCUAAAAAAUACAAACAUGAGGGCUAGAGGCACACCUCAUUUAAAAGAGGAGAAGCUCAUCAUGUUACUUCAUGAGUACAUGGAGAAAGUAGGAUGGUUCAUGACCAAAUCAAAAGGAGCGCUACACUUUUUGCUCAAUGCAAUUGGGACUCUUUUCCCUUCCCCAAUUACUUGAGCCUUGAUCAAGAGGAUCGCACCAUGCACACCACACCCAGGGAAGUACUCAGUUUCCUUUGUUCUUUUAUGUUUCUUAUACAUUGAGGACAAUGCAUGAUUUCAGUGUGGGGGUGCAUAUCUCUAAAUUUUUACUUUUAAGUUUAUUUUCACUUUGAUCUUUUUUAAGUUUAUUUUCGCUUUAAUCUUUAGUUUGCUUGCAUUAGGCAAAAAUUUUUCAUUUUUGUUAUUUUUAUGCUUUCAAUAAAACACACACAACCACAACCUUCUUCUUCCUUUUUGUUUUGCUCUACUCAAACUGAUGAACAUGUUGGAUGAGUUUUUCUUGCCAUGACCCCAUUGAUGUGAUAACUCUUUAAACUUAUGUUGAAUCAAUUGCAGUGAGUUGUAUUCAUGUUUGAGAAUAUCCUUUUGAAUUGAAUCUUUGAGUUUGCCAUGGUGAAAAAUAUAUUGAUGACCCUCAAUUGAUUGAGAAUAAAUUGAAAAUUGUGUGAAUGAACUUAAUGUGACUUGAUUUAGCAAUUGGUGUUGAUUUGCCCAAAUCAUUGAGAGAAAGAAAAUUCAGCAAAGGCAAAGACCUCAAAAGCACAAAUUGAAAAUUGUUCUAAUGGUCAAAAGACUAUGAACAAGGCUAGUAGCCACUUGGAUAGGUGACCAACUAAAAAAUAUAAACCAUGACAUCAAAAAUAGGUUGGUGACCUUUCCAAGCAAGAUCUAAAGUGCAAAAGCCUGAAUAAAGUACUUCAAGGUAAGGGCAAGUCAAUCCAAAAGCUAGAAAAAGUCUUAACAAACUAAUGUGCAUGUCUCUCUUGAGGAAAACAAAUCCUAGCCAUGGUAAGCAAAGGGAAACAAGGAAAAGAGGUGAGUAAUCUUCAUGCAUAUAUUCUUCACUGCAAUGCUUCAAAAUAGGUGUCUAGAGUAAGAGCUUAAGUGGAAAUAAGGAUCUAGAGUAAGAAAGCUUAUUUGACUAUGUUUGUUUGCUUGAGGACAAAUAAAAGUCUAAGUGUGGGGGUAUUUGAUAGAGCAUAAUUUAGUCUAUUUUAUAUUAAUAUUAUUGAUAAAUAUUUACAUGAUUUCUGCUUAAUUUAGUGCUUUUAAUAUUAUUUUGCAGAAAAUGGUGUAAAAGGACACUUUGGAGAAAAUACCCCUAAAACUGCCUUAUUUGGAGCAAAAGAGAGCAAGCCUGCUAAGUUGAAAUCAAGUCAAGCUAAAUAUGGAAAGUUCUAAAUAAGGAAAGUGGCAAAGAAGGAAAGAACAUUCAGCCAAAGCCAUUUGAAAUUCGAAUUUCAAAUCAGCAAGUUGCCCUUUCCUUAUUCAAGAAGCCAUAUCUCAAGCUGCCAUAAUUGAAGAGCCAAAGAAGGAAAGUAUUUUGAAAUUCAAAUCUCCAAGAUUCACAUUCAGAUAUUGGAUUUCAAGAUCCCACUCAUUAAGGAAGCCAAAUCUCAAGAUCACAUGUUCCCCAUUUUAUGCCAUGCACAUUCAAGUUUCUAUAAAAGGCUCCACCUUCCUCUUUAGUGAAUGGGCACACUCCAAAAACGUGGGCAGCCUCUUGGACACACCUUGGGCAGUAUCUUGAAGAUCUUGGACAGCAAUUAAAAGACUAAAGAGCCCCCACUUGCAUGCUCCACGUUUUUGCCUUCACCCAUACACAAAGAAGGCACAUAACUCACCAAGGGCACUUUGGGAAGUCUCCAAAAGACUCAUGGAUACUAAAAAGGAAAUAGGCAGCCUCUCAACACCUAUUUAAAGGCCUCAAGAACACAAGAAGAGGCACAAUUCAACUCUCCAAAUUCGGCCAAGCAAGGGCAGCCACACUCCAAGGGGCUUCUCCCCUCAAUUUCGGUUCUUCUUUCUUCUUUUCUUUAAUUUUCUGUUUUGG